Molecule: long non-coding RNA, 808 nt
Filed under: Malus domestica (apple)
Lineage: Eukaryota; Viridiplantae; Streptophyta; Magnoliopsida; Rosales; Rosaceae
Description: long non-coding RNA (MDOM_LNC019479)
Source: RNAcentral
UCUAAAUCAAAUGGUUAAGCAAAUUGUAUUCACGACUUAUGUAACAAUAACUGGAAGUAAUCAACUCAUUUCGCAUAUAUAAUCAUGGUUUUGAAUACACCCUUAGCCAAAAACGAAAUUAGCCAAUCAUACUUAAAGCAAAACAAAGAUUACAUGAAUUAGACAUUACAAUCCAAAGAAAGAAAACACCUAGAAUGCUCCAACUUGGCAGCAAGUGCAUCCAAGAUUCCUCUUUUCCCUUGCUUGCGGCAGAUUGGGUUAUGGACAGGUUUUGGGUAGUUUUAUGGUGUAGAAUGGAUGGGGAAUGGUAUGGAAAGGUUUAGGGUGAGUGUGGAGGAGUGUUUGAUGGUUGGAAGGUGGUAGAGAACUCGGCAAAGAUGGUGGAAUAAGGUGGAGUGGCUGUUAUGUUUUCUGGGCACUAGAAUGGUGUUUUUGGGGUGUUUUGCUGCCUAGGGUGAGUAUGGACGAAUUUUCUGCAUGAAUGAUGAAUAUGGGAGGUUCAACCCUUUGCCAAGGGUUGUAAACAUGUAUAUAUAGGCCCCAAAAACCCUAGAGAAUCAAAUUAGGCAGUAGGGAAAUGCACAGCAAGGAGGGUGAAUUUGUGGUGUGCAAUGGUCCAAGGAUGAAAAUGAAGCAAUGAUGCAAAGUAUGGAGGGUAAAAUGGAGUGGUAUUUCAGCUAGGGAGCAUGAAUGAUUGUGUUCAUUGCAUGGAAAUGAAAAGGGGAGGUGAAAUGUUUAAGAAAUUAGUUAAAGGUGCAGCAACAUGUGUUGCACAAGGCAUUGGAUCCCAAAUGUGGAUGAUGGAGCA